RNAcentral lists this transfer RNA (74 nucleotides) under Ignavibacteriales bacterium CG_4_9_14_3_um_filter_34_10. RNAcentral describes it as "tRNA-Met". It matches the Rfam family "tRNA". Rfam says of the family: Transfer RNA (tRNA) molecules are approximately 80 nucleotides in length. Their secondary structure includes four short double-helical elements and three loops (D, anti-codon, and T loops). Further hydrogen bonds mediate the characteristic L-shaped molecular structure. tRNAs have two regions of fundamental functional importance: the anti-codon, which is responsible for specific mRNA codon recognition, and the 3' end, to which the tRNAs corresponding amino acid is attached (by aminoacyl-tRNA synthetases). tRNAs cope with the degeneracy of the genetic code in two manners: having more than one tRNA (with a specific anti-codon) for a particular amino acid; and 'wobble' base-pairing, i.e. permitting non-standard base-pairing at the 3rd anti-codon position. Lineage: Bacteria; Pseudomonadati; Ignavibacteriota; Ignavibacteria; Ignavibacteriales. The record is from RNAcentral.
GGGCCUGUAGCUCAGUUGGUUAGAGCGUCUGACUCAUAAUCAGAGGGUCCGCGGUUCAAGUCCGUGCAGGCCCA